AAAAAAAAAAAAAAAAAAACUUAAUACAAAGAACCCGUAGACCUAGGAAGACCGAAAAAAACGCUUAACGAUUUUGUCAAAUGGCACAUAUUUACAUAAAAAAAAAAGAACUCAAAACCAUUUAUUUGCUGCUCUCAAUUCGUACUGCACCAUCAAUAAUUUAACGUACAGUUUAGGCAUUUUCAAGACUACAAUUUAGCUUCAAUAAAUACUUCUAAAUGAAUUGAAGGAUAAGCGCAUCGACUGCAAAGAACAAUUUAUCGUUAGAGGGACAAAGGCUAGAAAUAACUGCAUUAUAGUUUA
Non-coding RNA from Schizosaccharomyces pombe (fission yeast), 303 nucleotides. The record is from the annotation of a GenBank genome assembly. NCBI's taxonomy places the organism in Eukaryota, Fungi, Ascomycota, Schizosaccharomycetes, Schizosaccharomycetales, Schizosaccharomycetaceae.